Armigeres subalbatus is the source of this 1818-nucleotide long non-coding RNA. RefSeq lists it as uncharacterized. The record is from RefSeq and is a predicted model, not a curated record. The transcript is spliced from 4 exons. NCBI's taxonomy places the organism in Eukaryota, Metazoa, Arthropoda, Insecta, Diptera, Culicidae.
AAAAUUGUAUUGCAAGAAGAGAGUUGAACGGUGAAUAAAUCUAGAUUGUAUUUGAUGUAGAGUGAAUUACGUGGAGUUUGGUCAGCAGAUAACAAUUAAGUACACUCUGACGCAGGACAGUACAGUGGUGCUCAAACUAUCGAAGACAGCCCACGGACUUUUAGACGACAAUUAGACGAACGACACAGAAAGCGAGUAGAACAGGCAGACAAGUCUACGUGGACGAUUGAGACGGAAGUUAAAGGAGAAGAACAAACUAAAAUUGUGAGUAGAAAUGUUACAAAAAAGAUUAUAUUUGUAAACAAAUGUAAAACAACCCACAAACUUAAAUUUUAAUUAAACUUCCACAGUUUGAUCAUUGACGAAUACAUAGACCGAAAUGUCCGGUACAAAGCCAUCAGAAAAUCGGGCACCAUGUCUUCUUCUUUAUUUUAAAGAAAAUACCCCUCGUGGGUGACGAAUUACAUUAUACAUAAAUAUUUUUACGAGCGCUGACUUACCCCUCUUGACGUUUUGACAGUUUGUCUGUUUGUUUUUCUCCGUUCCUUUCUAAACCGCUGAACAUUAUUCCAUGUCGGAGUUUUCCGCCUGCAGCUGCGCAUCCCGAAAAAUUUGAAUAUUCGUCGGUUCGGUGUUGAAACUGUCCGGAAGUAUUCCUUAUGAUAUCGAUAAUAAAUUGACGGAAGGUUGCCUUUACGCUUUACAGCACCAUUGCAAAGUACGCUCAACAUUAAAGCCAAUAGCUGUGAAUCACUGUGAAAUCACAAAAUGCUUGUGCAAUCGUGAAAUUAUGCGCGAUAUCCGCCCAGAUGUGGAUUCAUCCAAGACCAGAUCAGAGAAUCUAUCGGAUGUCCCCGAUCGGCCGGAGCAGGAGCGAACCGCCUUCAGGUCGCUUGGUCGCCAAGAAGGGCAAACAAACGAUUUAGCACCGGAGACCGUACAACAUACAAGGUACAAUACAUAAUCCGCAUUGAUAUCUUCGGGAAUUGGACAUAUAGGCUGAAGGCAAUUGUCUUGGAAUGCAUGUGGAAAUCUGCUAAGUGUAACAAGUGGCGCAGUAUGGAAAGAUGUUUGGAGUUGUGGCAAGAUUUGUUGCUCUGUGGCACCCAGUUUUCAAACAGUGGCAUCCGUCUUCAAACCGGUUUUUAUUUUCCGAUUUACUGCCCAGAAUAUCGUUGUUCCAAACGAUUGAACCUCGGUACCAGUACCCCAUCAGAACAAAAACCAUCUUGCCCUACUACACCACUGAGUUUGUCGCUGGAAUAUCUACAACCCGAUGCAAAAUUGGACUGUUUUCAUAUAUAUAAUCGGAAAAGUGAGCCAACAGUAUUUAUAAUACGCUAACGCAACGGCGGGGAAAUACCGGUCCACCUGAUGUGAACAACUACAGAAUUCGACGAAUCAACAGUCUUUGGACUUUUUGAUAGGAAGAGCUACAUUCAUGGAACCACAGAUGGCAUAGCCACCCACAUCCCGAGUUGCACUUACAAUCUCCGUGAUGGAGGGCCAAUACCUGAUACCUUCGGAUAAUCAAACGGCUGCCGCUUCAACUGUACUAGGCUCAUCAAUUGUUAAAGCAUUCAGCAAGUUUUACCAGCAGCUACUCCUCUCGGUUGGUGAAUCACCAAUGGUGAUUCUAUGAAACCGGUACAACCAACGUCAAUAAAAUCGUUUCCUUCGGUCAAGUACCGUAACGGAACGAAAUAAGCAACAGGCGGAAGAAAUCUGUAUCUGAGUUAUGGUAAAUUUUUGUAUAGGCAAAUUUUUGUAUUGUAAUCGAGAUUGUAAUAUAUUUUAUUACGAAUAAAUUUGGGUCAU